CAGCAUCUGUGGAGGGAAAUAAACAGUCGACGUUUCGGGUCGAGACCCUUCAUCAGGACUGGAAAGGAAGAGGGCAGAAGCCAGGAUAAGAAGGUGGGGGGAGGGGGAGGAGCACAGGCUGGCAGGUGACAGUGAGUCCAGUCCAGACCUGUUAUGGAACAGAAGGAAGUCAUUGGCCUCAGCGAGUGUGCUGCCACAGAUCUGGCCUGGCAGAUGGUCAGCCUUGGUGAAGCAGCCAGCAUAAUCAAAGACCCCACCCACCCAGGACACACUCUCUUCUCCCAUUGGGCAGAAGAUACAGGAGCCUGAGGGCACAUACCACCAGGUUCAAGGACACUUCUAUCCCACGGUGAUAAGAAUAUUGAACGGUGCCCUUAUACGAUGAGAUGGAUUCUUGACCUCACAAUCUACCUUGUUUGACCUUGCACCUUAUUGUCUACCUACAAUGCACUUCUUCUAUAGCUGUGACACUUUAUUCUGUAUUCUGUUAUUGUUUUAUCCUGUACUACCUUAAUGCACUGUGUAAUGAAUUGAUCUGUACGAUCGGUAUGCAAGACAAGUUUUUCACUCUGCCUCGG
This is a long non-coding RNA of Pristis pectinata (smalltooth sawfish), 578 nucleotides long. RefSeq lists it as uncharacterized. Lineage: Eukaryota; Metazoa; Chordata; Chondrichthyes; Rhinopristiformes; Pristidae. The record is from RefSeq and is a predicted model, not a curated record. The transcript has 3 exons.